Callithrix jacchus (white-tufted-ear marmoset) is the source of this 266-nucleotide unclassified non-coding RNA. It matches the Rfam family "Metazoan signal recognition particle RNA". From Rfam's summary of the family: The signal recognition particle (SRP) is a universally conserved ribonucleoprotein. The record is from Ensembl. NCBI's taxonomy places the organism in Eukaryota, Metazoa, Chordata, Mammalia, Primates, Cebidae.
GCUGGCAAGGGUCUGUAGUCCCAGCUACUCCAGAGGCUGAGGCUGGAGGAUCACUUGAGCCCAGGAGCUCUGGGCUACAGUGCGCUAUGCCGAUCGGGUGUCUGCACUAAGUUUGGCAUCAAUAUGGUGACAUCCAGGAGCGGGGAACCACGAGGUUGCCUAAGGAGGGGUGAACUGGCCCAGGUCAGAAACGGAUCAGUAGUGGGAUCACACCUGUGAAUAGCCACUGCACUCCAGCCUGGGCAACAUGAGCAAAACUGUCUCAA